GGAAAUUGCAUUGCUCAGUUAGACAGUUUUUUUUUUUUUUUUUCUCUCCAGCAAAGCUUUGAAUGUAACAGUCAUUCAGGUCACUCGGUCUUAUCUUUUCUCACCUUUGGCUCCUGAUAGAAGCUUCCCAUACACAUGGAUGAGCAUCCUAGGGAAGAAGCAGAGUGAGCCUCCGGGGAGUCAGUGCAUGGACAACUCUAGAAGUUUCUAUGGGGAAGAAACCUUGGCAAGGACUUUGGAAUCACACCACUUGAAUAUAUUCAAGAGUGCCAUUUUGCCAGCAUGCCACUGGACAGAUCUCAAGAUGUUUCUAGCAAAAUUGUGGGGCUGUAGUUAUGGAUUGCUUGCUGUGGGGCAGAAGGAAGAGACUAGUCAUUCAGGUGGGUGGAGUCAUCACAUACCAUGACAGAAUACAGGAAGGGACG
RNAcentral lists this long non-coding RNA (425 nucleotides) under Bos indicus x Bos taurus (hybrid cattle). Its description in RNAcentral is "lncRNA (ENSBIXG00000010378.1)". The record is from RNAcentral. Lineage: Eukaryota; Metazoa; Chordata; Mammalia; Artiodactyla; Bovidae.